RNAcentral lists this ribosomal RNA (407 nucleotides) under uncultured bacterium. Its description in RNAcentral is "partial 16S ribosomal RNA". It matches the Rfam family "Bacterial small subunit ribosomal RNA", at positions 29 to 526 of the family's 1533-position model. The record is from RNAcentral.
AUUGAACGCUGGCGGCAGGCCUAACACAUGCAAGUCGAGCGGAGCGGCGGACGGGGGCGUAAUGCCUAGGACUCUGCAUGGUAGUGGGGGAUAAAGUCCGGGAACGGGAGCUAAGGCCGCAGACUCUCAGGUCAGCCUAGGUCGUAUUAGCUAGAUGGUGGGGUAAAGGCCUACCAAGGCGACGAUGCGUAGCUGGUCUGAGAGGAUGAUCAGUCACACUGGAACUGAGACACGGUCCAGACUCCUACGGGAGGCAGCAGUGGGGAAUAUUGCACAAUGGGCGCAAGCCUGAUGCAGCAAUGCCGCGUGUAUGAAGAAGGCCUUCGGGUUGUAAAGUACUUUCAGCGGGGAGGCGUUACCCGCAGAAGAAGCACCGGCUAACUCCGUGCCAGCAGCCGCGGUAAUUC